This 698-nucleotide small RNA is filed under the name Pongo abelii (Sumatran orangutan). RNAcentral's name for it is "retained intron". The record is from RNAcentral. Lineage: Eukaryota; Metazoa; Chordata; Mammalia; Primates; Hominidae.
CCAGGUGGGCCUGGGGGGUUCAUUGGGGAGGUCUUCGUGCAGCAGGCCAGUGGGCCCAGCGGGGAGGUACCGGCCACCCUGCUGAUGCUGCCCAAGCCCACCCUGGGCCCCACCCUCAGAACGAGCUGCAGCAGAUCCGCCUGUGCUUUGAGAGGAAGAAGAUGGUCAUCACAGAGGUGUGGGACAGCGUGGCUGAGAUGCACAUGGCCCUGAACAACCAGGCCACCGGGCUCCUGAACCUCAAGAAGGACAUCCGGGGCGUGCUGGACCAGAUGGAGGACAUCCAGCUGGAGAUUCUCAGGGAGCGGGCCCAGUGCCGCACUCGAGUCAGGAAGGAGAAGCUGAUGGCAAGCAUGUCGAAAGGGAGGCCAAAGCUGGGAAGCUCCAAGGGCCUGGCAGGCCAGCUCUGGUAGGUGACUGCGCGGCAGAGCCCAGCCCCCAGGCCCCCCACGCGCCCCUGCCCCUGACCACCGCCGCCCGCAGGCUGCUGACCCUGAGGCUGCUGCUGGGCGCCCUGCUGGUCUGGACCGCUGCCUACGUGUACGUGGUGAACCCCACACCUUUCGAGGGGCUGGUGCCACCCCUGCUGAGCCGUGCCACCGUCUGGAAGCUCCGGGCCCUGCUGGACCCCUUCCUGCGCCUCGAAGUGGACGGCUUCCUGCCCUUCUAGGCCAGAGGCCCAGCGGCCCCAGCGAGGA